GAUGAAGAACGCAGCGAAAUGCGAUAAGUAAUGUGAAUUGCAGAAUCUCGUGAAUCAUCGAAUCUUUGAACGCACAUUGCGCCCUAUGGUAUUCCGUAGGGCAUGCCUGUCUGAGCGUCAACUCCCACCCUCUCAAGUCUUCUUUUUUGUUAAGGAGAUUUGGAUUACUUUGAGGAAGUAUCGUUUUUUUUUUAUAAUGCUACUCCUCAGAAAUUCAUAGGCAGUAUGGUCAAACCUGAACCAGGCGUAAUAAUUCUAUAAAAAUCGUCUAUGAAGGAAUGUCUGUAUUAGCCUUUAACCCCCCCUAAUUUAUUUUACUUGGGUGACCUCAGAUCAGGUAGGGAUACCCGCUGAACUUAAGCAUAUCAAUAAGCGGAGGA
This 380-nucleotide unclassified non-coding RNA is filed under the name soil metagenome. RNAcentral's name for it is "partial contains 5.8S ribosomal RNA, internal transcribed spacer 2, and large subunit ribosomal RNA". The stretch from base 1 to 120 matches the Rfam family "5.8S ribosomal RNA", at positions 35 to 154 of the family's 154-position model. The record is from RNAcentral.